AUGAAGGGUGUUGUGAUCUUUCUUGUGUUGACACUGGUCCUGUUCAUGGCUGAACCCGUGGAGCCUCGAUUUCGUUCGGGGUUUCAAAACGGUUUACGGAAGUUUAAAGAAAGCAAAUACCCAGACAGACUGAAGAGGCUGGCUAAGGGAGUGAUUGAACAUGGGCCUGCCUGGAUGGAAGGUAUUGCCAGCCUAAAAGAUGGAUAUGUUGCUCGCCUUGAUGAUGAGAUGUCAUAGAGCGCAGUUCAACAGAGGAUCUGG
Neolamprologus brichardi is the source of this 261-nucleotide non-coding RNA. Lineage: Eukaryota; Metazoa; Chordata; Actinopteri; Cichliformes; Cichlidae. The record is from RefSeq and is a predicted model, not a curated record.